This 87-nucleotide ribosomal RNA is filed under the name uncultured bacterium. RNAcentral's name for it is "partial 16S ribosomal RNA". The record is from RNAcentral.
CACAUCAUGGAAGUCACUUGUAGCCGAAGUGCGCGCGCCAACCCGCAAGGGGAGCAGCGCCCUACGCUAUGAGCGGUAACUGGGAUG